GACGAACGCUGGCGGCGUGCUUAACACAUGCAAGUCGAACGGAAAGGCCCUGCUUUUGUGGGGUGCUCGAGUGGCGAACGGGUGAGUAACACGUGAGUAACCUGCCCUUGACUUUGGGAUAACUUCAGGAAACUGGGGCUAAUACCGGAUAGGAGCUCCUGCUGCAUGGUGGUGGUUGGAAAGUUUCGGCGUUUGGGGAUGGACUCGCGGCUUAUCAGCUUGUUGGUGGGGUAGUGGCUUACCAAGGCUUUGACGGGUAGCCGGCCUGAGAGGGUGAACGGCCACAUUGGGCCUGAGGUACGGCCCAGACUCCUACGGGAGGCAGCAGUGGAGAAUAUUACACAAUGGGCGGAAGCCUGAUGCAGCAACGCCGCGUGCGGGAUGACGGCCUUCGGGUUGUAAACCGCUUUCGCCUGUGACGAAGCGUGAGUGACGGUAAUGGGUAAAGAAGCCCCGGCUAACUACGUG
Molecule: ribosomal RNA, 468 nt
Filed under: uncultured bacterium
Lineage: Bacteria
Description: partial 16S ribosomal RNA
Rfam family: Bacterial small subunit ribosomal RNA
Source: RNAcentral